This 244-nucleotide long non-coding RNA is filed under the name Lathyrus oleraceus (garden pea). RNAcentral describes it as "Pisum sativum (pea) long non-coding RNA (PSAT_LNC010316)". The record is from RNAcentral. Lineage: Eukaryota; Viridiplantae; Streptophyta; Magnoliopsida; Fabales; Fabaceae.
UUCAAUGGCUUAAGGCUAAAAUUUCUAAUAAUUAAAACAUGUCUAAGUUUGAAAUCACAAGCAAAAGAAGGUUUUGAAAGGAGGGAGAGAUUUUGAAAUUAAAGAAAGUGGGAGGAGAUGAAGAGGCUACCCUAAGAAUUUUUUUAAAAGUUUAAGAGUUGAAAAGAUCUGACCAAUGGGAUGCAAUCCAACAGACAAGAAUGUCAUAUAGAAACCCAUUUUUCUUUUGACUUUGAUAAGCAAU